CCGGCACGGGUGAGUAACACGUAUGCAAUCCACCUGUAACAGGGGGAUAACCCGGAGAAAUCCGGACUAAUACCCCAUAAUAUGGGCGCUCCGCAUGGAGAGCCCAUUAAAGAGAGCAAUUUUGGUUACAGACGAGCAUGCGCUCCAUUAGCCAGUUGGCGGGGUAACGGCCCACCAAAGCAACGAUGGAUAGGGGUUCUGAGAGGAAGGUCCCCCACAUUGGAACUGAGACACGGUCCAA
This 241-nucleotide ribosomal RNA is filed under the name uncultured bacterium. RNAcentral describes it as "partial 16S ribosomal RNA". It matches the Rfam family "Bacterial small subunit ribosomal RNA", at positions 100 to 334 of the family's 1533-position model. The record is from RNAcentral.